This 882-nucleotide long non-coding RNA is filed under the name Volvox carteri. RNAcentral's name for it is "long non-coding RNA (VCAR_LNC001315)". Lineage: Eukaryota; Viridiplantae; Chlorophyta; Chlorophyceae; Chlamydomonadales; Volvocaceae. The record is from RNAcentral.
AGCCGAUCAGCGGGCAGAUCGUAUGGCUCUGAAGCCGAUCAGAGAGGAACUCGUUCUUGUUAUCUGAGUGGAGGUUUUAUCGGGUUUUGCCCGCUUCCUGUUGAACGAAGUUAUGUUGGGUUCGCUGCUGGUGAUAUCGCUGCCGGGGCGGUUUUAGUGUAAUCACGAUGUAAGCAGCGAAGGACAGCAGGAGUCUGGAUUAAGGAACGGAUUAAACGCAACAAUUACCGAUACUUAUAGACCAUGCUUGAAAGACAAAAACGACUAGUAUAGAAGAUACUGCUGACCAUUUAAGGCAAUUGACUAUCAAUACGAGACUUGUCGAGACGGCGAACGAAAUUUGGUGAUUGUUCCGAGUAGCAAAUAUUUAUCACCGAGUCUGUGCCACUAUUUUGGCAAUAACACGGACAUUUAUGGCAUAGUAAAGAAAUUUAAUCCGUGUUCGUACACGGGCGUGCGACGGCCAUAAACUCCGCCAUAUUACUAACUCCGCCAUUCAUAACCCGCGCGCUGGAUGCUUCCAUAUGCCACGAACUAACCCCUGAUCCGUAGUGAACUAUUAGUCCAGGUGGAAUCACCCCCUAACAACAUACGUCUUCACGAGUGUUACGAAGUGUUACGGUAGGAGGAACGCAGCCGUCCGCCCGCGGGCGUACGGGAUAUACCCGCAGAAAGCAUCCGAAACGCUUUUGUAAUACUUUUCGCAUUUCAUUGAAGGUACAAGAGUUGCACAUUCAAUUUUCCACGUUUUUGGGCAAUCAUCUACCACAGUCUUUGCCAACUUCCACCGCCGCACCGAUCGAGAGAACGUGCUUUGGAGCUUAUCGCAACCAGGUAAGUAAGAAAUCCCCAUAGCGCAAAAAUCAUGGGUCAAGUAACGCG